ACUGCUCAGUAACACGUAGUCAACAUGCCCAGAGGACGUGGAUAACCUCGGGAAACUGAGUCUAAACCGCGAUAAGUGAGGAUUUCUGGAAUGGUUCCUGACUAAAAUCUAUAUGGCCUCUGGAUUGGACUGCGGCCGAUCAGGCUGUUGGUGAGGUAAUGGCCCACCAAACCUGUAACCGGUACGGGCUCUGAGAGGAGGAGCCCGGAGAUGGGCACUGAGACAAGGGCCCAGGCCCUAUGGGGCGCAGCAGGCGCGAAACCUCUGCAAUAGGCGAAAGCCUGACAGGGUUACUCUGAGUGACUUUCGCUAGAAAGUCUUUUGGCACCUCUAAAAAGGGUGCAGAAUAAGGGGUGGGCAAGUCUGGUGUCAGCCGCCGCGGUAAUACCAGCACCCCGAGUGGUCGGGACGAUUAUUGGGCCUAAAGCAUCCGUAGCCGGUUCUGCAAGUCCCCCGUUAAAUCCAGCUGCUCAACAGAUGGGCCGCGGAGGAUACUACAGAGCUAGGAGGCCAGUGGCGAAGGCGGCUUGCCAGAAUGCGCUCGACGGUGAGGGAUGAAAGCUGGGGGAGCAAACCGGAUUAGAUACCCGGGUAGUCCCAGCUGUAAACGAUGCAAACUCGGUGAUGCAUUGGCUUAUGGCCAAUGCAGUGCCGCAGGGAAGCCGUUAAGUUUGCCGCCUGGGAAGUACGGACGCAAGUCUGAAACUUAAAGGAAUUAGGAGAGGCAAGCGGUACUCAGUGGGUAGGGGUAAAAUCCGUUGAUCCAUUGAAGACCACGGCGGGGGAGCAC
This 790-nucleotide ribosomal RNA is filed under the name uncultured crenarchaeote. RNAcentral describes it as "bacterial SSU rRNA". It matches the Rfam family "Archaeal small subunit ribosomal RNA", at positions 85 to 941 of the family's 1478-position model. The record is from RNAcentral. Lineage: Archaea; Thermoproteati; Thermoproteota.